AGUACAGGCUCCGACCGAGGACUGAGGAAGCUUAGGAUGACUAAUAAGAAUGGUUGCGGCGAGUGUUUUGUUGUGGAGGUAUUAGAAGAAUGUGUAAGAAACAUACGGUGCUCAUGAUGCAACUUCCUGGAUGGUGUGUUAACUGUUUAUCAGCAUGUGAAAUCCACAUGAUUGAAGGAGAAGUCUCCCUUGUUAAAGAUCAGCAACGGCAGAUAAACAAUGCAUGAUGCAAUCUGCUCACUAAAAAGAUUACAACAAUACACCCCAUGCAUGUAUUUCUACCUAUCACCUAUGUAACCUUUGUCAUGCUCUUCAGAGAGUCAUCGACGGGAAAAGGAAUUACCGGUAAGUUGACAGGACUUUCCACACUGUUUCUGGUAGCAGCUUAUGAUUGAAUUGAUGGUAGAAGACAUGGCCCACUUAAUCAAAGAUAAUCUGUAUAGAGUGGCACCUUAACCACCACUGGUGAAAUAGAAGAUGACUAGUGGAUGGUCAUCACUUUGCAGCUCACUUUCACUUUCUGCAGCCCAUCUCUUCUCAUUCACAAUCAUUGUCUUUGGAGGAAUGGUGACAGUGCAGUCCUCAUGACUGGGCAGGUCUACUGCAUGUUGACAGCUGAUACUUGUUCUCUAUUUACUCCGAGAGGCCUACUACACAUUGUACCUCAGUUAUGACUGUACUCGUGCUGGCUUCUAUGAUGUUAAU
This is a long non-coding RNA of Saccostrea echinata, 705 nucleotides long. RefSeq lists it as uncharacterized. NCBI's taxonomy places the organism in Eukaryota, Metazoa, Mollusca, Bivalvia, Ostreida, Ostreidae. The transcript is spliced from 6 exons. The record is from RefSeq and is a predicted model, not a curated record.